AUACGGAGGGUGCAAGCGUUACUCGGAAUCACUGGGCGUAAAGCGCGCGCAGGCGGUCUUUUAAGUUGGAUGUGAAAGCCUACGGCUCAACCGUAGAACUGCAUCCAAAACUAUUAGACUAGAGUGUGGGAGAGGAAGAUGGAAUUAGUUGUGUAGGGGUAAAAUCCGUAGAGAUGACUAGGAAUACCAAAAGCGAAGGCAAUCUUCUGGAACACUACUGACGCUGAGGCGCGAAAGCGUGGGGAGCAAACAGGAUUAGAAACCCUAGUAGUCC
This 274-nucleotide ribosomal RNA is filed under the name uncultured bacterium. RNAcentral's name for it is "partial 16S ribosomal RNA". It matches the Rfam family "Bacterial small subunit ribosomal RNA", at positions 523 to 796 of the family's 1533-position model. The record is from RNAcentral.